Esox lucius (northern pike) is the source of this 1800-nucleotide long non-coding RNA. The record is from Ensembl. NCBI's taxonomy places the organism in Eukaryota, Metazoa, Chordata, Actinopteri, Esociformes, Esocidae.
GUGAAUGAUUGCUUGUCUGUUUUCUCAUAGUAGUUUUCUGAAUGGUAGGUAUUUGUCUUCAUUACAGUGUUGUGAUUCUGUUCAUCUUCAUUGUGUUACUGUGGGUCUGGUCAUCUUCAUGGUAAUGUUGUGAAUGAUAUCUUGAAUGCUGAAGUGUUGUGAAUGGUAGCCCUGGUGUUGCAUCAAUGAGGAGUGCUCCCUCUGCUGAUCAAAUUGGAACAUCACAUUUUUUCACCUUCUCCCCCUUUCUUCCCUUUUCACUGGUCUAACUCCCUCUCUCCCCCUCUCUCCCAUCGGUCACCCCCCCUCCUCUGUCUCACACCCACCCACCCACACGAAUGCAGAUGGAUUGGGAGACCACCGUGAAGAAGCUUCCUUCCAUCAAAGAGGACGAGGAAGGGUCAGAGGAGAAUCGAAACUCGCCCCUUCCCAAAAUGUCCCGUACCCCUCUAGGUCUGGGGCGUGGACUGAGCUCCCCACUGCGCUCCCCGCUGCGCUCGCCCCUGUUGCCCCCGCGCGGCCCCUUCCGCACGCCCACCGACCGCCACACCCAGCGGCCCACCAACCUGAAUAUCCCUGCGGUGAGCUUCAGCUGCGCCCCCCCGGACCUCAGUCCCAGGUUUGUGGAUGGGAUUGAGACCGACAGUGGUCGCAGUUUGGGCCAGAAGUUUGACUUCAGUCCCAGCGUGACCCAGUUAUUUCCAUCAAGCCCUAAUCCAGGUUCAAAACCCUUCAUACCCCUGAACAUAACACAUAACACACAGUUGCAAUGUCCUGUUCAUCAAUAUCCCUUUGAUCUAGAUGUGAACGCACAUAUGUUAUAUUUAAAAUCAAUUCAUAAAUCUUUAAAAGUCGACUGACCUUGCUCUCUUUCCUGCUUCUCUCUCCCUGUCUCUGUAUGUCUGUAGGAAUACUGAAUGAUUCAGACACCAUGCAGACUAUUGCCACUCUGAAAGAAGAGGUGAGUCACACUGAUGGAUAACUGUACAUUCUAGACUGGGUUUGAAUGGUCAUUCUCUAAAACAUCUCUAUCUGCCUCUCUCCUCCCUGGUCUUCUCCUUCUCCCUGCCCCUCCCCCUCCCUCCUCUUCUACCUGCUUCCCCAUGUCUCACCUCUGCCCCAGAUGACCAGCCUAUCCCACCAGGUGUCCCAGGUGGUCCAUGACCUCCAGGAGAUGACACAGCUGCUGAGGCCCCUCCUCCAGCCCCUCCAGUGUCCCUCCCAGUCCGUCCUCUCAUCCCUGAUGGCUGCUCUGUCUCCACCCACUAUCAGUGGCCACGCCCCUCCGCCGGACACACGCCCCUUCGACUCCACCUCACCGCGUGUGAAAGACACAGGGAUGUGGAGGGAGAGGAGACACUCGGACCCCCAUUUUAAGCCACCAAUUGGGGGCGUGCUCCCCACCCGCUCGGCUUCUACAGGGGCCAAGCCGUCCCCCACCGGCCCUGUUCAGCUCAGCUUCAUUGACGAGGAGAGACCCAUCAUCUGAGGGCCAAGUAGAAGUCAAUGCUAGGCCAGAUUUUCCUCACUGACAGUUAAGUAUGGGAUUGGGAGAGCCUAGGACAGGCAGAGACUGGCAUUAGAGAAUGGCAUCAGAGACUAACAUCAUAGACUGGCAUCGGAGAUCGGCUGGCACAUCACUGCAUGCGGCACAUGCCCAUGACUAACGCAGGUCACUAUUUCUGGAAUACUUAGAGGCCAGGAGAUAUUUAUCAUUAAAAAAUCUAUGUAUUAUUAAUAUUAAAUAUAUUAUUCAAUGUUAUGUCAUGAGAAGUUGUUACACAUCAUCUACCACUGGAU